CAGCAGCCGCGGGAAUACGGAGGGUGCAAGCGUUAAUCGGAAUUACUGGGCGUAAAGCGCACGCAGGCGGUCUGUCAAGUCGGAUGUGAAAUCCCCGGGCUCAACCUGGGAACUGCAUUCGAAACUGGCAGGCUAGAGUCUUGUAGAGGGGGGUAGAAUUCCAGGUGUAGCGGUGAAAUGCGUAGAGAUCUGGAGGAAUACCGGUGGCGAAGGCGGCCCCCUGGACAAAGACUGACGCUCAGGUGCGAAAGCGUGGGGAGCAAACAGGAUUAGAUACCCCAGUAGUCCCUGUCUCUUAUAC
This 301-nucleotide ribosomal RNA is filed under the name uncultured bacterium. Its description in RNAcentral is "partial 16S ribosomal RNA". It matches the Rfam family "Bacterial small subunit ribosomal RNA", at positions 509 to 807 of the family's 1533-position model. The record is from RNAcentral.